Molecule: non-coding RNA, 72 nt
Organism: Salmo salar (Atlantic salmon)
Lineage: Eukaryota; Metazoa; Chordata; Actinopteri; Salmoniformes; Salmonidae
Source: Rfam
UCCCGUGUGGCUCAGUUGGUAGAGCAUGGUGUUUGCAACGCCAGGGUUGUGGGUUCGAUUCCCAUGAGGGAC